This is a non-coding RNA of Phrynosoma platyrhinos (Desert horned lizard), 72 nucleotides long. NCBI's taxonomy places the organism in Eukaryota, Metazoa, Chordata, Lepidosauria, Squamata, Phrynosomatidae. The record is from the annotation of a GenBank genome assembly.
GACAGUGUGGUGUAGUGGUUUGAGUGUUAGACUGUGACUCUGGAGAACAGGGUUUGAUUCCCAUCUCAGCCA